RNAcentral lists this long non-coding RNA (517 nucleotides) under Bos taurus (domestic cattle). Its description in RNAcentral is "long non-coding RNA NONBTAT012630". The record is from RNAcentral. Lineage: Eukaryota; Metazoa; Chordata; Mammalia; Artiodactyla; Bovidae.
GGCCUAAUUACAGCUUGUAACAAGCUUUUGGGACACUGGGCUGGUUUUCCUUUACAUAUGGAAAGGCCAUAGUUAUUUCCAGAAAUUAGUCAGACAUGUGAUGUUUUACAUUAAUUUCUUUUGGAAAUGUCAUGGCAUGUGACUUCAAACUUCACAUUACCCUCAUCCUAAAGUUUUCUAUUUUAUCAUGUUUUGAGCCAAGCGCUCUCCAGAUAUGAAAAUAAAUGCGUAAUCUCAGAUGCCAGUUUCCUCCUUGGAUCUGCGUUUGCAAAACUCUCUGCUUUCCUUCCUAGAUAUUUAAAGCUGGCUUUGCGUUUACUGAUUCAUCUCUGGUGGCUUCCUUUCCCAAUCAGAAAAUCAAAUACUGAUUGCAGAGAAAAUGAACAACUGGAGCAUUAAAGAGGUUGUUGUAUGACCCAAAAAAACCUCAAAGCCCUCUUACUUGUACUUUUCUUUUGCAAAUCUUUAUGUUACCCUUUGUCCCCUUAGUCCUAUCAUUUUUCAUAUAUUAAAAAGA